UUUCCGUAGGUGAACCUGCGGAAGGAUCAUUAUUGUAUAACCGAGGUGCGAGGGCUGUCGCUGACCCGACAGGUCGUGCACGCCCGAGUGCCCUCACUCACAUCCAUCUCACCCCUAUGGGCACCACCGCGUGGGUCCCCCUUUGGCUUGUUCGGAGGGGGGCUUACGUUUUCACACAAACUUUGUAUUCAGUGUAGAAUGUAUUUUUUGUUUUUGCGAUCACGCAAUCAAUACAACUUUCAACAACGGAUCUCUUGGCUCUC
This 263-nucleotide unclassified non-coding RNA is filed under the name plant metagenome. Its description in RNAcentral is "partial contains small subunit ribosomal RNA, internal transcribed spacer 1, and 5.8S ribosomal RNA". The record is from RNAcentral.